RNAcentral lists this ribosomal RNA (484 nucleotides) under uncultured bacterium. RNAcentral describes it as "partial 16S ribosomal RNA". It matches the Rfam family "Bacterial small subunit ribosomal RNA", at positions 30 to 507 of the family's 1533-position model. The record is from RNAcentral.
AUUGAACGCUGGCGGCAGGCCUAACACAUGCAAGUCGAGCGGAUGAAGGGAGCUUGCUCCUGGAUUCAGCGGCGGACGGGUGAGUAAUGCCUAGGAAUCUGCCUGGUAGUGGGGGAUAACGUCCGGAAACGGGCGCUAAUACCGCAUACGUCCUGAGGGAGAAAGUGGGGGAUCUUCGGACCUCACGCUAUCAGAUGAGCCUAGGUCGGAUUAGCUAGUUGGUGGGGUAAAGGCCUAACAAGGCGACGAUCCGUAACUGGUCUGAGAGGAUGAUCAGUCACACUGGAACUGAGACACGGUCCAGACUCCUACGGGAGGCAGCAGUGGGGAAUAUUGGACAAUGGGCGAAAGCCUGAUCCAGCCAUGCCGCGUGUGUGAAGAAGGUCUUCGGAUUGUAAAGCACUUUAAGUUGGGAGGAAGGGCAGUCAGUUAAUACCUUGCUGUUUUGACGUUACCAACAGAAUAAGCACCGGCUAACUUCGUG